Non-coding RNA from Lipotes vexillifer (Yangtze River dolphin), 73 nucleotides. NCBI's taxonomy places the organism in Eukaryota, Metazoa, Chordata, Mammalia, Artiodactyla, Lipotidae. The record is from the annotation of a RefSeq genome assembly.
UCCCUGUUGGUUCAGUGGUUAGGACUCAGCACUUUCACUGCUGAGGGCCCAGGUUCGAUCCCUGGUGGGGGAA